UGGUCAUGGAAUUUAGUGUCAUCCUAAUUG
This 30-nucleotide non-coding RNA is filed under the name Rattus norvegicus (Norway rat). Lineage: Eukaryota; Metazoa; Chordata; Mammalia; Rodentia; Muridae. The record is from RNAcentral.